This 249-nucleotide long non-coding RNA is filed under the name Malus domestica (apple). Its description in RNAcentral is "long non-coding RNA (MDOM_LNC020956)". The record is from RNAcentral. Lineage: Eukaryota; Viridiplantae; Streptophyta; Magnoliopsida; Rosales; Rosaceae.
CAUGGAAUUGUAAAAACUUCCCGGAUCUUUGCAUUUAGGAGGUAAUUUUCUUCGCAAAACAGCGGAAACAUUCUCACUUACCUGGACAACUCCUCUUUGUUUGAAAUUCUCUUUCUUAUUGUACAUAGUUCCUUCAAAAACUUGGCAUACCUAGGUAUUGCUUAAUUGCGUCAAGGAGAGGUAAUAUUGACUUGCACUUUCCGGAACGUCUCUAGAAUGUCCUUUUCAGCUUGUUCUUUCUUUGUUUGC